This is an RNA transcript of Triplophysa dalaica, 10626 nucleotides long. It is a transcript of the gene named chromodomain helicase DNA binding protein 3, with no coding region annotated. The transcript has 41 exons. The record is from RefSeq and is a predicted model, not a curated record. NCBI's taxonomy places the organism in Eukaryota, Metazoa, Chordata, Actinopteri, Cypriniformes, Nemacheilidae.
UUGGGGGGUGGGGGGAGGUUGUUAAAAAAUAAAUAUAAGGGCGGCCAUCUUUGUUUCUCUGCCUUGUAGUGUAAAAUAUUCUAAAACGCCCCCCACUUUUUGUGAGUCGAUUUGAAUAUUAAAUAAAUAUCAUAAUUCGGAAGGGAUACACUUUUAGAUCUCGCGGAACGGGGCCACCGACGGGAAUAUAAUGUCCUCUCUUCUCCGUUCUUGUGAGGAAGAUGAGGGCACGGCGGUUAAUUCCGAGGGAGGAGAUUUUGGUGAAGAAGAAGACGACGGAGACCUGGACGCAAGCGACAUAAACUCGCCGGCGGCGCCUAGAGAAACUGCAGCGAGAGCCGCGCCAGAUGACGGAGACGAUUUCUGUGGCAUAUCAGACAGGGACAGUCUGGGAAAAAAGAAACGAGGCCCCAAGAAAAAGAAAGAAACAAAGAAGAAAGACAAAGAGAAGGAAGGCAAGAUGGCCAAGGCACGAAAGCGCAAAAAAAUUGAGAGUGACAUAGAAAAAGACUCAGAGGUUGACUAUGGCGUGAACUCUGACAGUGCUGCCAGCGAUUAUGGAGGUGAGAAGAAAAAGAAGAAGAAACACAAGGACAAAAAAGAGAAGAAAACCAAGAAAAAGAAGAAGGAGGAUGAGGACAGCACACAUGAAGAGACCACAAAGCCAAUAGAGCUGAAGACAUCGGCCCAGCUGGCUAAAGAAUGGGGUCUAGAAAAUGUUGAUCACACAUUCACAGAGGAGGAUUAUAGAACACUUACCAACUACAAAGCCUUCAGCCAGUUCAUGAGACCGAUGAUUGCUAAGAAGAACCCUAAAAUCCCCAUGUCUAAGAUGAUGACAAUUCUGGGGGCCAAAUGGCGGGAGUUUAGCUCUAAUAACCCAUUUAAAGGUUCGGCAGCAGCUGUCGCUGCCGCUGCUGCUGCCGCCGCCGCAGCCGUUGCAGAGCAGGUCUCCGCAGCAACAGCAUCCCCUGAACCUCCUCCUCAACCACCACCACUUCGUAAGGCCAAGACCAAAGAGGGGAAAGGCCCUGGCUUUAAAAAACGCAGUAAGAGUCCUCGUGUCUCCGACAAGAAGAAGCCCAAACCUAAGAAAAUGGCUCCUCUCCGAAUCAAACUGGGCGCAUUGGGCAACAAGAGGAAGAAGAGCAGCUCGAGCGAGGAGGUGGACGAUGACGAUUCUGAACAGGAGAACUCCAGCGUUCACAGUUCCUCAGUGCGCUCUGACAGCUCGGGACGGGUGAAGAAGAACAAGAGGGGUCGACCUGCCAAAAAGAAGAAGAAAGUGCAAGGAGAUGAGGAUGCUGAUGGCUAUGAGACGGACCAUCAGGACUACUGCGAGGUAUGUCAGCAGGGAGGGGAGAUCAUUCUGUGUGACACCUGUCCUCGAGCGUACCACCUGGUGUGCCUGGAGCCUGAGCUUGAAAAAGCCCCCGAGGGCAAGUGGAGCUGCCCACACUGUGAGAAAGAAGGGAUCCAGUGGGAGGCAAAAGAGGAAGACUUUGAGGACUUUGAGGAGGAAUGUGAUGAUGUCAGAGAUGUUGAGGGGGGGCUUGGUGGAGAGGAAGAGGAGGAUGAUCACAUGGAGUUCUGUCGCGUGUGUAAAGAUGGAGGAGAGCUCCUGUGCUGUGACUCCUGCCCGUCGUCCUAUCACAUUCACUGCCUUAACCCGCCACUGCCGGAAAUCCCUAACGGAGAGUGGUUGUGUCCACGCUGCACUUGUCCAACAAUCAAAGGACGUGUGCAAAAAAUUCUUCACUGGCAAUGGGGUGAACCACCACCUCCAGUUCCUGUCCUGCCAUCCCCAGACGCAGCCACUGAUGCCCCGCCCCCUCCACCUAUAAAGGGCCGUCCAGAGAGAGAGUUUUUCGUAAAGCUAGCAGGACAGUCUUACUGGCACUGUACCUGGAUUACAGAGCUACAGCUCGAGAUCUUUCACUCUGUGAUGUUCCGGAACUAUCAGAGGAAAACAGACAUGGACGAGCCGCCCAGUCUAGACUAUGGCUCUGGAGGAGAGGAGGAUUCUGGGAAGAGUGAGAAGCGGAGGGCCAAAGACCCUCAAUAUGCCAUCCUGGAAGAGAAAUAUUAUCGCUAUGGAAUCAAGCCUGAAUGGAUGAUGGUGCACAGAAUAAUUAACCACAGCAUGGAUAAAAAGGGGAAGUACCACUAUCUAGUUAAAUGGAGAGAUCUGACGUAUGACCAGUGCACUUGGGAAGGAGACGAUCUGGACAUCCCUGAAUUUGGUGCAUACAAAGCUGCUUACUGGAGACACAGGGAGGAAGUGAUGAAGGAAGACCCAGAAAAACCGAGGAAGAUACGGAGGAGAGAGGAGAAUGAUGAAGCUCCCGGCACACCAGUUAAUGAUCCGACUAUUAAAUAUGAGGAGCAGCCAGACUUUGUGACAGAAACAGGAGGAACGCUGCACCUGUAUCAGCUGGAGGGCCUGAACUGGCUACGCUUUUCCUGGGCUCAAGGCACAGACACCAUCCUGGCUGAUGAAAUGGGUUUGGGCAAGACCAUCCAGACCAUCGUGUUUCUCUAUUCACUGUUUAAAGAGGGUCACACCCAAGGACCGUUCCUGGUGAGUGCACCGCUCUCCACAAUCAUUAACUGGGAGAGGGAGUUUGAGAUGUGGGCUCCUGACUUUUACGUGGUUACCUACACUGGAGACAAAGAAAGUCGAGCCAUCAUACGUGAGAACGAGUUCAGCUUUGAUGACACUGCAGUAAAGGGAGGAAAGAAGGCCUUCAAGUUAAGGAGAGAAGCUCCCAUUAAGUUCCAUGUGUUGCUGACAUCAUAUGAGCUGGUAACCAUAGACCAGAAUGUUCUUAAGUCCAUCGACUGGGCCUGUCUCGUGGUGGAUGAAGCUCACCGCCUCAAAAACAACCAGUCCAAGUUUUUCAGAAGGCUAAAUGAUUACAAGAUUGACCAUAAACUGCUGCUGACAGGAACUCCACUUCAGAACAACUUGGAGGAGCUUUUCCACCUGCUUAACUUCCUCACGCCCAACCGUUUUAAUAAUCUCGAGGGUUUUCUUGAGGAGUUUGCUGACAUCUCUAAAGAGGACCAGAUUAAGAAACUGCAUGACCUGCUUGGACCACACAUGCUGCGGAGACUCAAAGCCGACGUGUUUAAGAACAUGCCGGCCAAAACUGAGCUCAUCGUACGAGUUGAGCUCAGCCCCAUGCAAAAAAAAUACUACAAAUUUAUCCUGACGCGCAACUUUGAGGCGCUAAACUCAAAGGGAGGAGGGAACCAGGUGUCUCUGCUCAACAUAAUGAUGGACCUGAAGAAGUGCUGCAACCAUCCCUACCUCUUCCCCGUCGCCUCUGCCGAAGCUCCUAAGACACCGAGUGGAGCUUAUGAAGGAGUCGGUCUCACAAAGUCUUCUGGGAAACUCAUGCUGCUUCAGAAAAUGUUCAGAAUACUGAAAGAACAGGGUCACCGAGUGCUCGUGUUCUCUCAGAUGACCAAAAUGCUGGAUUUGCUGGAGGAUUUCCUGGAUUAUGAGGGUUAUAAAUAUGAGCGAAUUGAUGGAGGCGUUACUGGAGCCCUUCGACAGGAAGCCAUAGACAGAUUCAAUGCUCCGGGGGCGUGUCAGUUUUGUUUUCUUCUCUCAACGCGUGCAGGUGGUCUGGGCAUCAACUUAGCAACUGCAGACACAGUUAUCAUCUUUGACUCUGACUGGAAUCCUCACAAUGACAUUCAGGCCUUCAGUCGGGCUCAUCGCAUAGGUCAGGCCAAUAAGGUGAUGAUAUACCGCUUUGUGACUCGCGCGUCUGUUGAGGAAAGAAUCACUCAAGUGGCCAAGAGAAAGAUGAUGCUAACGCACUUGGUAGUGCGCCCCGGUCUAGGCUCGAAAGCAGGAUCCAUGUCCAAACAAGAGCUGGACGACAUUCUCAAGUUUGGCACUGAGGAGCUUUUCAAAGAUGAGAUUGAAGCAGGGGACAAUAAGGAUGAAGACAGCAGUGUAAUUCACUAUGAUAACGCUGCCAUUGAGCAUCUGUUGGACCGCAGCCAGGAUGCCACGGAUGACUCUGACAUGCAGAACAUGAACGAGUAUCUGAGCUCCUUCAAAGUGGCUCAGUACACCGUCAGAGAAGAUGACAAGAUUGAAGAGAUCGAGAGAGAGAUCAUUAAGCAAGAGGAGAAUGUGGAUCCAGAUUACUGGGAGAAGCUCUUGAGGCAUCACUACGAACAGCAGCAGGAAGAUCUGGCUCGAAAUCUUGGCAAAGGAAAGAGAGUCCGCAAGCAGGUUAACUACAAUGACGCAGCCCAGGAGGACCAAGAGUGGCAUGCUGACAUUUCAGAUAACCAAUCAGAAUACUCUGUUGGCUCGGAGGAGGAAGACGAGGACUUUGAUGAGAGACCUGAGGGUCGCAGACAGUCUCGCAGGCAGCUCAGGAAUGAGAAGGAUAAACCGCUGCCUCCCCUGUUGGCCAGGGUGGGUGGCAACAUUGAGGUGUUGGGCUUUAAUAUGCGUCAGAGGAAGGCCUUCCUGAAUGCUGUGAUGAGGUGGGGGAUGCCAGCUCAAGAUGCCUUCUCCUGCCAGUGGCUCGUGCGAGACCUCCGCGGCAAGAGCGAGAAAGAAUUCAAGGCGUAUGUGUCGCUCUUCAUGAGGCACCUCUGUGAGCCAGUGUCCGACGGUUCAGAAACAUUUGCUGACGGCGUUCCACGGGAGGGGCUUUGCCGGCAGCCGGUCCUUACACGUAUAGGGGUCAUGUCUCUGGUUAAGAAGAAGGUACAAGAGUUUGAACACAUUAACGGUAAAUGGAGCAUGCCUGAACUAAAGCCAGAGGUUACUGUGGACUCCAAGAAGUCUUCAAGAGCCUCUUCACCUGUCAUAAAGACAGACACUCCCACACCUGAACCAAGCUGUAACAACACACCCUGUACUUCCAAACCAGCCACUCCCUCUCCAUCUGACAAGAGCGGCAAAGAGUGCGAGAAAGACGAUGGUGGGUUGCACUCAGAAACAGAGAAAGAGAGAGAGAAAGAGGGGAAGGAGGGAGAGAGGGCAGAAAGCACAGAACAUGGAGAGACCACCUUGAAAGAAGGUGUGAAGGAUCCUGCAUCCCGUGAAAAAUCCCUAACAUCCGAAAGUCCAACAGCAGCUACUGACGACUCCAAAACGAAGGACAACUCUGACCUCCCUCCAUGUUCUCCAAAAGAAAAGAGCGAGAAAGACAAACGAGAGGAGGAGAACUCUGAGAAGAAGACUUCCUUUGAGAAAACAAUGGGAGAUUCAUCAUGUGAUUCCCCAUCCGUUAAAGAUGAGGACAGAGAGGCUGUUAGAGGAGAGAAGGGAGAGAAGACUGGUGAAGAGAGGGACAAGAGAGAUCAGACACCUCCCACAGAAACAACAGAAAAGCAAGAGAGAUCAGAUAGUCAAUCUUCUGAUGUCAAAAAAGAGGAGGUGAAGGGUAAAAAAGAUGCUGAAAGAGCAAAAGAGGUCAGAGGUCAAAAGGAGGAGAUUCCCAAAGGGAAUGGCAAAUCCACAGAGCGACCACGGUUCAUGUUCAACAUUGCAGAUGGAGGCUUCACAGAGCUGCACACUCUUUGGCAGAACGAAGAACGGGCGGCCAUUUCAUCAGGCAAGAUCAACGAGAUCUGGCACAGACGACAUGAUUUCUGGCUGCUGGCAGGCAUUGUUUGCCAUGGUUAUGCACGCUGGCAGGAUAUACAGAAUGAUCUGCAGUUUGCCAUCGUAAAUGAUCCUUUCAAGACUCAAGCCAACAAAGGAAACUUCUUAGAGAUGAAGAACAAAUUCCUUGCAAGGAGGUUUAAGUUGCUGGAGCAGGCCCUGGUGAUAGAGGAGCAGUUACGUCGAGCUGCGUACCUCAACAUGACCCAGGACCCCACUCACCCGGCCAUGGCUCUGAACGCUCGUUUCACCGAGGUGGAAUGUCUGGCUGAGUCCCACCAGCACCUCAGCAAGGAGUCACUUGCUGGAAACAAACCUGCCAAUGCUGUCUUGCAUAAGGUUCUUAACCAGCUAGAGGAGCUACUGAGUGACAUGAAGGCGGAUGUAAUGCGGCUUCCAGCUACACUCUCUAGAGUCCCACCAAUUACAGCCCGACUGCAGAUGUCAGAGAGAAGCAUCCUCAGCAGACUGGCCAACAAGGGCAACGAGACACACACGCCUCCGGUUAUUCCUCCGGGCCCCUAUGCCACACCACAGAAUUUUGGCUCCCCCUUUACACCCGCACCUUCAGCACUAACACUGGCUGGGUCCAACUACAGCCAGAUGCCUCCUGGCUCCUUCAUAUCAGUGUUGAACGGACCCCCCAUGUCAGUAAAAAAGGAAAGGGAGGCGGAGUUUCUGAUGGCACGGAGGGAACAGCGCAGCGGGGAGGUGAUCUGCAUCGACGACUGAAUUUGACCCCUCCCGACGCGCACAGACUCGGCCGAACAUCUGCAUGCAAAUGUGAAUGAGGUGAAUGCUUAAGCUGGGACCUGUUGAAAUGUAACCAUGGCGAGGACAUAUGUUUGUUAUUUGUAAUUGUUUGAUAACUUACUGUAUGUUUAUAACAAUUCUAGAUUUCUUACAAUCUUUGCAAUUAUACAAAUAAUUUAACGUAUGCUUAAAGUGAUAGUUAACCCCAAAAAAGAAAAUUCUGUCAUCAUUUAAUCACCCUCUUGUCAUUUCAAACUCGUGUGGCUUUCUUUCUCCUGAGAACACAAAAAUAUAUUUAGGAAAAUAUUGGUAACUGGCACCCAUUCAAUUGCAUUGGUUUUGUGUCCAUAGUCCAUAGUGGCCACCCCUGUUAAAUUACCAACUUUCUUCAAAAUAUCUUCUUUUUUGUAUAGUAUUUUCCUAAUAUUGUAUUCUGUAUUUAUUCUCACUGUAUAUCCUGCACUUGCUAAUUGCACUUCUGGUUAGACCUAAACUACAUUUCGUUACACUGUACUUGUAUAUGUGUAAUGACAAUAAAGUUGAAUCUAAUCUAAUCUUUUAUGUUCUGCGGGAGAAAGAAAGCCACAAGUUUAAAAUGAUAAGAGUGUGGGUAAAUAUUAACAGAAUUGUAGUUUUUGGGUUAACUAUUACGUUAAAAAAACGUAUACUUAGUUUCCUUGUAUUCAUUUCAAAGUAAUAUAUAUCAUUGUAUCUGAAUCCCCUUCUUUUCAUAAUUGUUAAGGUGUCCAACACAAAUAAAAUCUUAUUUCUGUUUUGUUUGUUCUUAUAUUGUCUUGCAAAGCUGUAUCCUGUUAUUUAUUUGUAGUAUGUUAAUUGAAGACUUAUACAGCUGUCCUCCAUGUAUGUAAUGACUGGCAUUAACAAAUCGAUGAUACACUAUGAUACAUAUAUACACUAUGAUACAUAUAUCUUUAUGACAUUCUACAUACAGUAUAUAGUACUAAUAUAGUCAUCUCAUAACUUUUGGCAUCUUAUUUGGUAGCUUGCCUCUUUCCAAAAAGAUCUAGAAUAUGGUAAACUUUGUAGCCAAUCCCAUUAUGCACCUAUUGUGGCUGUCCAAUGCUCGUAUCAGAAUGUUUUGUCACAAUUCUAAAAUGUCAAGGAACACAAGUCUCUUCAUGUAAUAUAAAGUAUUGUUGAUAUACUUUUUACCCACACCAACAUUUAGUGUCUCGUUUCAGUUUUUACGACCUGCGUUAUCAUGUCAUGUGCUUCUAAUACACUUGCCUGCAAAUUAUUCAAAACACUGAUUAAGAUGUCUAUAAAUUUAGUGUCAUUUGCAUGUCCACCUUUCAUCGGAGUAGGACAAUGGAUUCUCGCAAAGUACGAGUUAUCAGAGAUUUUUUACAGCAUGGACAAUCUCUAUCAUAUUCGGAGAAGAUGUGAGAACUUUGCACCUAAGGGUAGGGGAAUGAGAAAUAGUUUUCACCAAAAGAAUUUAGAACUAUUUUGACCUUCAUUUAAUGAUAGGCUUUACAUCAGAUGGAGAACUGCAUUACAAGUUCAGAUAAAAGAAAGACCGUAGUGAAUAUCUGGCUAAAGUCGUCACAUCACCUGAGGAGGCACACAACAUAUUUGUGGAAUUUCAUGCCAGCCCUCUUGGUGGACAUUGUGGGGUUGAAAAGACUCAGCAUGCCAUAAUCCUUAGAUUUUACUGGCCUGGCACGGAGGAAAAAAUUUACAAGUGGGUUAAUUAUGUCACAAGUUUGUUUAGAUCUUGGUGUCAUUUACUUUCACUUAUUGCAUUAUCUCUGUUUUUUCAGUUGGCUCAGUGUCCUCAAUGUCAGGCCACAAGAAAAACAAUAACGAAGGCAGCAUUCAAUCCAAUAAUUGCAAGAGUUAAAAUAUUGAAUGUGGAAGGCGGUACCAUUGGGAAUGUGUGGACAGACCUUCUUUAGCUGGCACAUACAGAUGCCCAGGAUGCUGUUAAAAUGGUUAAAUCUAUUGAGAUUAUUGUUAAUGUAUUUUUAUUUGUUUAGCCUCUGUAAAACUCAUUUCCAUGUUUCGUUGUCUGAGCUGUUUUCUGUUAAGUUUGAUUUCUUGUUUUGCUAUAUGACUUGUGUCAAAUUCUAAAAUUUAAGUAUGAUCUCUGCAUCCAGGGAAGUAUAAUUUAGUGCGCAUUCUUUAGUUCAGGGGGGUCCUUGUGGAAAAACAGCAUGAUUCUCUUCUUCCCAUUGUGAAGUUUAAAGUUCGUAACUACGGAUGACAUUUUUCAAGUAACCUUUUAAUUAAGAUCGUUAUCGAGAAGGAUACGGAAACUUUAAAAAACGAACCCGAGAGCUUUGGCUCCUGCGCAAUGGUGUGUUAGACUUAAUGUCGUGAUGCGGAGUCCGAUCGCCGUAUGGUAUUAUACCCGAGGGUAAUUGGUGAUUUGAUGUCAUAGACUGAUCGGUCUGUGCAGGAUCGACUGAAUUUGAACACGCCUACAAUCUUUGUUUCAGUUACAACGAAAGUGGGGGGAGUUUCCGGCCAUGCAUGGAAAAUCGUUUAAAUGUUGCUUCUAUGGCGAACCAGAAAUCCGUGGUAAAUCAUAUUCGUCGAAUCUGUCGCGUUCGCAGCUGCUGGGAAAUCAGGAAAAUCAUCAACAUGCACGCGCAUGCCCCGAGAUAACACGAUCCCCAGUUGAUCCAUAACACCGGCAAUGCACGAAUGCUUUGCUUAAAAAGUGGGGCCAUUCCAAUCAACAAAUAUUCGCAAUGACAGGCGCCUCAGAUUCGCAGCCUGCAAGUAUAUUACAUUGUAAAAUACUUAUAUGGACUAACGCGGGUUGAGUUUUUCGCGUAUUUGUGAUCUGCAAGUGCAGUCCCGCGCGCAAAGUAAAAAAAAGACAACAUAAGUCCUAAUAAUCAGUAAUAAUGUUCCAAAUAGAGGCAACAAAUGUAGUGUUUAUAAUGGGUUUUACUGUCUUUGAGACAAAAGACAAGAUGGACAAUGCCACGUUUUUCUGUAUUGUUUUGUGUAUGAAUGUAAUUGUUUUAAAGGACCUAGUCUUUUGCAGCUUUUGAGAAUUUGAUUAUGUUUUUGGGGUGUUUAACAAAAGAUGUUCAUGUUCCAAUAAAACAAACCUCUUUAUAUUUAACAUAUUUCAAGUUUUUUGUUCACCUCUGUCCCUCUUUUAACAAAACGACUGGAUUUCAUAAACUUUUAGCAAUAAACGGUAACGAACGCAUCAACCUCACUUUAUCAGUUAAAAACAUGAAGAUCGUUUGAAGUGUAAUGGAGGUCUGAUAGUGUAUGUGCUAACGUCAAUCUUUGUUAGAGAUCGCACAUUUUUUCCUACAAUGACGAGUUAAAUGACACCGGAUGGAAUGGUUUCAGACCAGUUACAUUAAUUAACACUAAUAACAGAAGCAUUCGUCUUGCCAUUUUAUAUUGGACCCGAGUUGGAUUAUUAAACAAGCAGAUUGACCAGGAGACAUUUGCAAGCAGGACUUCAAAGGACGUUUCAUAGAAGUGUUUUAGAGGUAGGCAAUGCGCACACACAAACACACAUAUGAUAUCAGUGUAAUGCACUGAACAGCUUUCAUAGCCGAUGUUAAAGUCAUGAUUUGAAGCGGAAUUCUUAUUAUCAGCUGUAGGACUGUGAUGAAAGUGAAAAUGGUUAAUCACGUAGUUCAGUCAAAUGUUUACAAUCUCUGAGAACCAAACCCUACUUCAGCAGCUCUUCCUCUUCUCUAAGGAAGGCCUUGCCCCUUUUUUGGCGUAUUCCUUUGGGCGGAGGUUAUUAAAAGCACUCGGAUAGUGAUAUCUUGUACCCGGGAAGUAGAGGGCUGUAGUCAGAUUCCAGCCAUUCUCUGUAAUCCUUGAAAAGUGAAUUCUGUUAAAGACAAUAUCUUGCUUGUCACUAAACUUUGAACUUUAUCAUUUUGCAGGAAUUGUUUAUGCUCUAACAGCAACAUAACACACUAACUAUAGGUUGAAAAAUGGGAUCAUGGGGAAUGGGAUCUUUAAAGCGGAUCUGCAAUGCUGUGUCAUGCAUUCAGACUUCUUUACAAUGUAAAACGUGCGGUUUUCUCAUCCUUUACAUGGUCAACUUGUCAAAAAACGAGUUGGGCAUUUUAUGUAGUAUUUCUGUGCUCGAUACACUCCCCCACCGAUCGUACAGGUUCGGUAAAGUUUUUUUCGAAUAUUUAAAACAGUUUCAUAACAACUUUUUGUAGUCCCUUGCUGAAUAAUUCUCCCGGAAAAGCAUGCGGCACGGCGACAGG